The sequence is a non-coding RNA, 413 nucleotides long. It matches the Rfam family "transfer-messenger RNA". From Rfam's summary of the family: Bacterial tmRNA, also known as 10Sa RNA or SsrA, is named for its dual tRNA and mRNA-like properties. The record is from Rfam.
GGGGAUGUCACGGUUUCGACGUGACACAUUAAUUUUUAAUUGCAGUGGGGUUAGCCCCUUAUCGCUUUCGAGGCAUUUUAAAUGCAGAAAAUAAAAAAUCUUCUGAAGUAGAAUUAAACCCAGCGUUUAUGGCUUCAGCUACUAAUGCAAACUACGCUUUUGCGUACUAAUUAGUUAUUAGUAGAAACGUUCAUUAACAUAAUUACUAUUGGUUGGUUUUUGGGCUUAUUUUACAAUAGUUUUAAAUUUAAAAUUCUUAUUUGUUGUUUAAAUUUAAAUAGAUUUAACAAAUAGUUAGUUAAUUUUAAAUUUGUUUUAUUAGUUAUUAACUACACUAUUUUUAAUAAAACUAAACUGUAGAUAUUAUUAAUUAUGUGUUGCGGAAAGGGGUUCGACUCCCCUCAUCUCCACCA